RNAcentral lists this ribosomal RNA (325 nucleotides) under uncultured eukaryote. Its description in RNAcentral is "partial 18S ribosomal RNA". It matches the Rfam family "Eukaryotic small subunit ribosomal RNA", at positions 1470 to 1796 of the family's 1831-position model. The record is from RNAcentral.
CCCUUAGAUGUUCUGGGCCGCACGCACGCUACACUGAUGCAUUCAACGAGCCUAUCCUUGACCGACAGGUCCGGGUAAUCUUUGAAUCUGCAUCGUGACGGGGAUAGAUUAUUGCAAUUAUUAAUCUUCAACGAGGAAUGCCUAGUAGGCGCAAGUCAUCAGCUUGCGUCGAUUACGUCCCUGCCCUUUGUACACACCGCCCGUCGCUCCUACCGAUUGGGUGUGCUGGUGAAAUGUUCGGAUCGGCCGUUUGUCGCGGUUUCCGCGUCAUGUGGCUGAGAAGUUCAUGAAACCCUCCCACCUAGAGGAAGGAGAAGGCGUAACA